Molecule: ribosomal RNA, 370 nt
Filed under: uncultured organism
Description: bacterial SSU rRNA
Rfam family: Bacterial small subunit ribosomal RNA
Source: RNAcentral
CGAAGGGGGCUAGCGUUGCUCGGAAUUACUGGGCGUAAAGGGCGCGUAGGCGGACAGUUUAGUCAGAGGUAAAAGCCCAGGGCUCAACCUUGGAACUGCCUUUGAUACUGGCUGUCUUGAGUACGGGAGAGGUGUGUGGAACUCCGAGUGUAGAGGUGAAAUUCGUAGAUAUUCGGAAGAACACCAGUGGCGAAGGCGACACACUGGCCCGUUACUGACGCUGAGGCGCGAAAGCGUGGGGAGCAAACAGGAUUAGAUACCCUGGUAGUCCACGCUGUAAACGAUGAGUGCUAGUUGUCGGCAUGCAUGCAUGUCGGUGACGCAGCUAACGCAUUAAGCACUCCGCCUGGGGAGUACGGUCGCAAGAUUA